RNAcentral lists this ribosomal RNA (465 nucleotides) under uncultured bacterium. Its description in RNAcentral is "bacterial SSU rRNA". It matches the Rfam family "Bacterial small subunit ribosomal RNA", at positions 338 to 795 of the family's 1533-position model. The record is from RNAcentral.
CCUACGGGUCGCACCAGUGGGGAAUAUUGCACAAUGGGCGCAAGCCUGAUGCAGCCAUGCCGCGUGUAUGAAGAAGGCCUUCGGGUUGUAAUGUACUUUCAGCGGGGAGGAAGGUGUUGUGGUUAAUAACCGCAGCAAUUGACGUUACCCGCAGAAGAAGCACCGGCUAACUCCGUGCCAGCAGCCGCGGUAAUACGGAGGGUGCAGGCGUUAAUCGGAAUUACUGGGCGUAAAGCGCACGCAGGCGGUCUGUCAAGUCGGAUGUGAAAUCCCCGGGCUCAACCUGGGAACUGCAUUCGAAACUGGCAGGCUAGAGUCUUGUAGAGGGGGGUAGAAUUCCAGGUGUAGCGGUGAAAUGCGUAGAGAUCUGGAGGAAUACCAAUGGCGAAGGCGGCCCCCUGGACAAAGACUGGCGCUCAGAUGCGAAAGCGUGGGGAGCAAACAGGAUUAGAUACCCCGGUAGUC